UACGUAGGGUGCAAGCGUUAAUCGGAAUUACUGGGCGUAAAGCGUGCGCAGGCGGUUGUGCAAGACAGAUGUGAAAUCCCCCGGGCUUAACCUGGGAACUGCAUUUGUGACUGCACGGCUAGAGUGCGGCAGAGGGGGAUGGAAUUCCGCGUGUAGCAGUGAAAUGCGUAGAUAUGCGGAGGAACACCGAUGGCGAAGGCAAUCCCCUGGGCCUGCACUGACGCUCAUGCACGAAAGCGUGGGGAGCAAACAGG
This 254-nucleotide ribosomal RNA is filed under the name uncultured bacterium. RNAcentral describes it as "partial 16S ribosomal RNA". It matches the Rfam family "Bacterial small subunit ribosomal RNA", at positions 524 to 776 of the family's 1533-position model. The record is from RNAcentral.